Molecule: unclassified non-coding RNA, 289 nt
Filed under: uncultured Hypocreales
Lineage: Eukaryota; Fungi; Ascomycota; Sordariomycetes; Hypocreales
Description: sequence contains 5.8S rRNA gene, ITS2, 28S rRNA gene
Rfam family: 5.8S ribosomal RNA (bases 1-52)
Source: RNAcentral
AACGCACAUUGCGCCCGCCAGUAUUCUGGCGGGCAUGCCUGUUCGAGCGUCAUUUCAACCCUCAAGCCCCAGCGGUUUGGUGUUGGGGACCGGCGAGUACAGAGGCUUUGGGGACUUGUCCCCCUUCCCUCGGCGCCGCCCCCGAAAUGAAUUGGCGGUCUCGUCGCGGCCUCCUCUGCGUAGUAGCACAACCUCGCAUCAGGAGCGCGGCGCGGCCACUGCCGUAAAACGCCCAACUUUUUUUUUAAGAGUUGACCUCGAAUCAGGUAGGAAUACCCGCUGAACUUAA